AUAAAGGCUUUUCUAAAAACCACCUCAUUGUUUCACAGAUCUUUUCU
Ovis aries (sheep) is the source of this 47-nucleotide non-coding RNA. NCBI's taxonomy places the organism in Eukaryota, Metazoa, Chordata, Mammalia, Artiodactyla, Bovidae. The record is from Rfam.